CGAUGCAACGCGAAGAACCUUACCUGGUCUUGACAUCCACGGAAGUUUUCAGAGAUGAGAAUGUGCCUUCGGGAACCGUGAGACAGGUGCUGCAUGGCUGUCGUCAGCUCGUGUUGUGAAAUGUUGGGUUAAGUCCCGCAACGAGCGCAACCCUUAUCCUUUGUUGCCAGCGGUCCGGCCGGGAACUCAAAGGAGACUGCCAGUGAUAAACUGGAGGAAGGUGGGGAUGACGUCAAGUCAUCAUGGCCCUUACGACCAGGGCUACACACGUGCUACAAUGGCGCAUACAAAGAGAAGCGACCUCGCGAGAGCAAGCGGACCUCAUAAAGUGCGUCGUAGUCCGGAUUGGAGUCUGCAACUCGACUCCAUGAAGUCGGAAUCGCUAGUAAUCGUGGAUCAGAAUGCCACGGUGAAUACGUUCCCGGGCCUUGUACACACCGCCCGUCACACCAUGGGAGUGGGUUGCAAAAGAAGUAGGUAGCUUAACCUUCGGGAGGGCGC
RNAcentral lists this ribosomal RNA (501 nucleotides) under uncultured Escherichia sp. RNAcentral describes it as "bacterial SSU rRNA". It matches the Rfam family "Bacterial small subunit ribosomal RNA", at positions 952 to 1453 of the family's 1533-position model. The record is from RNAcentral. Lineage: Bacteria; Pseudomonadati; Pseudomonadota; Gammaproteobacteria; Enterobacterales; Enterobacteriaceae.